This 198-nucleotide long non-coding RNA is filed under the name Felis catus (domestic cat). Its description in RNAcentral is "lncRNA (ENSFCAG00000049994.1)". The record is from RNAcentral. Lineage: Eukaryota; Metazoa; Chordata; Mammalia; Carnivora; Felidae.
AGACACAGGCCCACAUCUGGAGGAUAUUAGUCUGCCCAAAGGAAUUCAGCCUGUGAACUGGUUUUGGCUGAUGUUUUGGAGGAGUAUGCAACCUUGAGGAAUCUUGGCUGUGUCAAUACAGGUAAUACUCAAUAGAGUUGAACUUGACUAUAAACUGCCUGAUUCAUGGGACAUUUAAUUUUUCAUAUUAAGUUUGAG